Molecule: transfer RNA, 76 nt
Filed under: Thermoanaerobaculia bacterium
Lineage: Bacteria; Pseudomonadati; Acidobacteriota; Thermoanaerobaculia
Description: tRNA-Phe
Rfam family: tRNA
About the family: Transfer RNA (tRNA) molecules are approximately 80 nucleotides in length. Their secondary structure includes four short double-helical elements and three loops (D, anti-codon, and T loops).
Source: RNAcentral
GCCCAGGUAGCUCAGUUGGUAGAGCACGGCACUGAAAAUGCCGGUGUCACUGGUUCGAAUCCGGUCCUGGGCACCA